This 1942-nucleotide long non-coding RNA is filed under the name Theobroma cacao (cacao). RNAcentral describes it as "long non-coding RNA (TCAC_LNC005599)". Lineage: Eukaryota; Viridiplantae; Streptophyta; Magnoliopsida; Malvales; Malvaceae. The record is from RNAcentral.
AAAUUUUGAAGUUAUGCGUAAAUACUUUUUGUAACGUAAAAAUAAAAUAAAUUCAUUCAUAUUGUAACACAAUAAACUAGAGUAUUUAAAUUAAUUUAAAUUUACAAUAUCAAGUGAGCCCACAAUAAUCAAAAUUAAAGAAGUUGUGAACCUACAGUUUGGAAGACGCAAAUCUAAUGGAAAUCCCCGAUGGAACCAACUAUCUACAGCCUACUUUGAGCCUAAAAUGGGUGGAAAGAAGGGUGGUGAGAUUAUAAAAUCCCAAUGAGUAAACAAACAUCAUUUAAAUCAAUUAAAGCCGAGUAAAAUGAGACAAUUAAAAUAUCCCAUCAUUUUAAAUAUUUCACAGUUUGAAAAUUUAUCCCAACCCAUGCAAACGGUUGUAUUUCAUUUAAUUUCUCAUUAAGGCUUAUGACUUCCAUAAAUAUUUGGCUCAUGCCAUCAAAUAGUACUCGAUGACACCUUGAUCAGAGGCGUACACUCGAGCCCGCCAAGGCUGUUAAAAUUUCGUAUACACGUAAAACAUAUUUUUAGUUUGAGAAAAACACAACCGUUCCUUUGCGUUAACGGAGUUCAUCAUCACGAGGUGGUUCGGUGUGACGUGAACUUUAUCCAUACCUGAGGAGAUACCCUACGCGCCUCUCCAACCAAGGUAUAUAUAUAUAUCUGGAUUUCGUGCCCCUCUAAUAGGUUAGUCCAUAGAAUCCGCCCACUGCAGCAUGAUAAGCCCACCAUAUAAUAAAAUUUUAACAACAUGACAAGGCUAAUAUAAUACUACCCAGCCUACAAGGGUAAAAUAAAACAAUUCAUACAAUUCAUAAACACAACCCAACUAGUCAUGCCAACACAAUAACAAUAUAACAUAAGCCAUCAAUUUCCAAUCAUAAAUUUACAACAUACCGGUGGUCUCCAAUUACUCUAUUUUCAAAAUCGUUAUUCAAUUUCAAGACAAUUUAUAAAAUCUUUUCAUGUAAACACAUUUUGUUUGUAAAACACAAAAAUUUACCAUUUAAACUCAUUUUCACAAAAUUUCACCAAAAUCGAUUAAAAACAUAUUUUAGAUAAUUAAAUGAUGGUAAGGUUACUCAUAGUAUUAGGAGUUCGAUAUACUCCUAUUUUCGAUCUUCGGGCACAAUCUCUUGACCCUUGUUAGAAGGCUCACCACCUAUACAUCAUACGUGACACGAAUUUCAAUAAAUUGUGUCAAUUUAUCAUAAACUAUUUCAGGCUCUCUAAAUCUAAAUGAAUGCAUGCGAUGGGAUGCAAAAUGUCUGAUUAAUCACUUAAAUGUGAUAUUCAACCUAAGUCACACUAUACUGGCCUAAUCGGCUAAAAUCUCCAAUUUAACUCCAAAUCAAUUCUUCUCACUUUCUACACUCCAAUUAUACCUAAAUUACCUCAGUGACUGUGAAUGAGAUUCAAUUUAUCAGUCUCGGGUUAAUAAUCACACAUGACUAUACAUUAGGUAAAAUUCAGAUUUUCCAACCAAAAUUUUUCAUUUAAUUUAUAGCCUCACCAAACAUCAAAUAUCACCCAAAUAUCAUGAAAUAUCAUCAAUUUCAGCCACAAAUUCCUCCAUAGAAAAUUUGGCCAAUGAUGGGUAAUGGGAGAAAAAUGAAUUUUUUUCUUGUUGGUUUGUUUCUAGAUAUGAUAAACUAACUAAAAACACUAACAUAACUUAGAAUCAAAUCAAUCUAACUUCAUUCUCUCUCCAUACCCGUUCCAACCAGCCAUGAAUUCACCAUGAAAACAUGAAAUCUAACCAUGGAAAAUGAAAAAGAAAGCAUGGGUAGUGUAAAUCACUAGUCAAAAUCAAGAAAUUUUACCUUUAUUAGCUUAAUCCCUUGAAAUCUCACACUUUGUCUUCAAUUUUUCCACUUAGGGUUCUUUUUUUUCCUUUCCUCCUUUGUUCUUCUUUGGCCAGCCAUAUAAUGAGAAAUGG